This 94-nucleotide transfer RNA is filed under the name Brevibacillus formosus. RNAcentral's name for it is "tRNA-His". Lineage: Bacteria; Bacillati; Bacillota; Bacilli; Caryophanales; Paenibacillaceae. The record is from RNAcentral.
UGAAGUAAUAAUUGAUAUGGUGAUUAAUCCAUGAUGGAUGGAUGGUAUAGUCGGUAAUGAUUGUAUAGAUUGGUUCCUUCCAAUCAUUUCUCCC